UCGUUUUUUAUAUGUUAAUAAAUUAAUAAUGAAUCUAGUAUUUAUUUUAUAAUCAAUAUAAUAGUAAUUAUAUCCAAAUACUAUAGUUCUCUCUUUUUAAAUUAGUUUAAAAUAAAAAGAAAGGGGGAGAUAUAGAAUGUAGAUAUGGUAUUUUAAAAUUUCUUUGGGUGAGGGGAAGAUACUAUCAAGUAACAAAUCUCAAGACUCAAUCCAAUCACAGCCAUCAGACCAACACACAUUAGAAAAAGUUCAUUAAUAGCACAACACACAGGUAUAUACCAGGCCAUCUACACAGCCCCAAAACAUUGCUCUAGUUUUAUUGACAACAAUGAUGAGAGAAAAGGGGGAGGAGCCAAUUAUUGAUCGGUCAAGCCGUUAAUUAGGUCACACACUAAGCAUGCUAGUACGUUGAUGCUUUUUGUAUGUGUGUGCAACAGACACUGAGCGUGCUCUAAGAUACGUUUUUUUUUUGGUCAACUAGGUGGCUUGGAGAAGGCGGAAUUUAUCUAGAAUCUAGAUGUAUAGCCUGAUGCCUACUUAUGUACAGGUUAUCCUGUUGAAGAUGAGGAAUAUUAUAUUUAUUCUGAGCCUACUGAUCAUUCAAGUCUUAAGAUAUACACCACAUUUCAGAAGCCUCAGUUUGUGGCUGGAAUAUUUCUUUUGGCUAGUUACUGGUUUCAAAUUCCACCCCAAGUGUCAUGCAAAGUUAUCACAGGCUAUCAAUACAAUGGGACUUAUCAUGAAUAGGCAAAGGGAAUCCCCAAUGGCCACAAGUCAACAGGAAAUGAUGAGAUGUUCACUUACUGAUGAUAGUUUCUGAUGUAGGUCAACAGGCAAUGAUGAGAUGUGCAAUUAUUACAUCAUGUUCUACACAAAUAGUUCUGUAGCUGACUCAUCAGGAGAUUGUAAAUUCAAUGAACUUACACCACUGACAGGAGAUAACUUUCCCAAAGAUGUUAGUGUUCCACUUCCACCCAAUCCAGCUCUUGAAGAAGCAGCCAUAGGAUCUCACAACCAUCCAAGAGUAAAUCCCCCAGAACAAAACAAUGGAACUGUCCACUAAUGUGUAAAAAUGGUCAGUCCUCAAUAAUGUUUGCCUGGGCUAAGAAUGCUCCUCCAACUGUCAUGCCCAAAGGUCAUCAUCUAACUAAAGACCCUUAUAUA
Long non-coding RNA from Biomphalaria glabrata, 1164 nucleotides. RefSeq lists it as uncharacterized. Lineage: Eukaryota; Metazoa; Mollusca; Gastropoda; Planorbidae. The record is from RefSeq and is a predicted model, not a curated record. The transcript has 8 exons.